Molecule: non-coding RNA, 105 nt
Organism: Aspergillus flavus AF70
Lineage: Eukaryota; Fungi; Ascomycota; Eurotiomycetes; Eurotiales; Aspergillaceae
Source: Rfam
GUUUCCAUAGUCUAGUGGUUAGGACGGCGGUCUCAUAGCAAUAUGACAGCUCCUAUCUAAAGGGUCUGCAAUCCGCAAGCACGAGUUCGAUUCUCGUUGGAAGCA